This 885-nucleotide long non-coding RNA is filed under the name Malus domestica (apple). RNAcentral describes it as "long non-coding RNA (MDOM_LNC010204)". The record is from RNAcentral. Lineage: Eukaryota; Viridiplantae; Streptophyta; Magnoliopsida; Rosales; Rosaceae.
GUACUUCCCAUUUUUCACGUUUUUGAAUUCUGUUUGGUUGCUGAGAAAAUUAGGUGGAAAAUUUGAAUAAAUCAGUUUAACAAAACGAAAAGGAAAACACUGGAAGGAGAAAGAAGCUGGCUAUGACAACCAACUCCAGAUAGAAGAAAAUAAACUGAAGCAUUUUUCUUUUGGUCAGAUAGAGUAAUUGAAACAUACAGCAUGAAGAAUGGAAAAUUAAUUUGGUUGCAGAAGAAUACGAAGGCAAAGUAUGUAUCUUACAUGCUUUAAUCUUGACUGAGGCAGCAUUAGAGCCCAACUUAGCCUUAUUGCACAAAACUCCCCAACAAUAAAGAUUUUAAUUUUACUAUAUAUUUGCUUUCUUUUCCAACGGAGACCGACAAAGAUUGCAAAUACCAACUCAGGAGAUAAUAAGAUCAACAAACCAAUAAUUUUACAAUUCCAUUCCCUCUGGGACAAGAACAAAAUGGUUACCUAUCAUGUUAAAGUUAAGCUCUGUCAAGGCAGCAAGACCGCAACCACCGAUGAUUGGAAGGAGGGACAGGUAGACUGAUAUAGGGAAGGACUCGCCCAGCAAGAACCUCGAAACCAAUACACUGAAAGCUGGCUCUCCACUCUUGAUGAUAUGGGUGAAGGAAACUGCAACCUUAGACAUACUAACAGUAGCUGCUACAUGCCCAAUUGUAUGUGCCACAGCAACCUGUUCAGGGAAAAUCAAACAAUAAAAUUUUUGUUGUGUUAAUUCUGUUUGUAUCAGUUUGUUCAACAAUAAUUGCGUGGAAAUUUGAAAUCUUUGGGGGGGUUUUGCUGGAAUUAGAAGGGUCUCGAGGAGGCAGCCGAUGCGCAACUGAACUCAGCGCCGCCGCGGAGUUCAUCGAAGAGGAG